CUGAGUACCGGGUCUCUCAGGCCCUUACUCCCACCCUUUGUGUACCUUACCAUAUUUCAGUUGCUUUGGUGGGACUCUUUUAAUUUCCUUUUUUAGGGGGUUUGAGCCCACCAUUGGAACUUUUUAAACUCUUGAUAAUUGAGAUUGUCUGAGAAUAAAAAUAAAUAAAUUA
This 172-nucleotide unclassified non-coding RNA is filed under the name soil metagenome. Its description in RNAcentral is "partial internal transcribed spacer 1". The record is from RNAcentral.